RNAcentral lists this transfer RNA (68 nucleotides) under Panesthia sloanei. RNAcentral's name for it is "tRNA-Trp". Lineage: Eukaryota; Metazoa; Arthropoda; Insecta; Blattodea; Blaberidae. The record is from RNAcentral.
AAGAUUUUAAGUUAAUAAAAACUUUUAUCCUUCAAAGCUAAAUAUAAAGAAUUUAUCUUUAAGUCUUA